UUCGCGGCCUUAUAGAUCCUUGUGGAGGAAGCUCGAGCAAGCGAGAAGGAGCGCGCGUCUAUUGCUGGUGGACACGCCACUAUAUUUCUCUUUAGAUCGUCUCUCAAACAUUCAAGAUUGCAGACAUGAGCUAUGGUCGGGGCCCCCCCGAUAUCAAGGGGAUGACGUCGCUCAAGGUGGACAAUCUCACCUACAGAACGACGCCAGAAGAUCUUCGGCGUUCCUUCGAGAAAUAUGGCGAGAUCGGGGACGUGUACAUCCCGCGAGACAGGUUUUCUCGCGAGAGCAGAGGCUUCGCCUUCGUGAGAUACUAUGAUCGCCGAGAUGCAGAAGAUGCAAUGGAAGCAAUGGAUGGCCGACGUCUUGAUGGUCGAGAGCUGAGAGUGCAGAUGGCCCGCUACGGCCGUCCAGAAACCCCUCCACACCGAAGACGCCGCCGACGGUACUCGGACAAUUCCAGGUCGAGGUCGAGGUCGCGCUCCCGUUCAAGGUCACGCAGGAGAAGCCGCAGGUCACGAUCACGAUCACGUUCAAGGUCACGCUCCCGCAGGAGGCACUCAAGAUCAAGGUCUGGCAGCCACUCACGCUCCCGCUCGCGUUCAAGGUCACACUCUGGAAGCAAGAGCCGUUCCCGCAGCCCCGAAGAACGUGAAUCGAAGUCCCCAGAAAAGCAAGAUAAGGAGAACGGAAUGGAUGAGGCAGCUGCUAUGGAGGAAGAGCAAAUGGACCGAUCUCAUUCACGUUCUAAGUCCCGGUCACGUUCAAGAUCUCGGUCUAAGUCUAGGUCAAGAUCUAAGUCGCGUAGCAAGUCCAGGUCCAGGUCACGCUCAAGGUCUGUGGAGUGAGAUGCACUGAACUGGAUGUUGGCAUCCUAUCAUCAACAAUCAACUAAAUCACUGCAUCACAAGAAGACUUCUCAAUUCCUGUCCAGAUUUUUGCAGUACUGGCAUGCUGGGCAGGGCGUGGCAGUUGUUGCUGUUGCUGUUGUGUUGCUGUGGAGUAUGGCGGGUUGCUGUAGUGCGGUGUUAUGGCGGGAGCCGAGGCAGAGCCAGUCAGGCAUGCAGCCGACGGGGGGGCCGCAAGGCACAGUACGGGCACGCAGGGCACCAAACCACUCCACCUUACUCAUUAACAACCUGUCAUUAUCCCAUACUGUCCUGCUUCACUCUUUAUUUUAUUUUGAUUGUUUUCUUUCUCAUGUUGAGUCUCCCUUGUACAUUUACUCCCUACAAAUUUUUUUUAGUUUCACUUGCCUCCCUCGGAGUGCAGUUCAAUAGAAAACUGUCACAUUAAUGACCUCAACAUUCCUCAGAAAAAUACCUUCUUUACCAGUCAUGUUGCAAUGAUUGGUACUGUUAGUAACAAGUGUACUAACUGAUUUAUCCUGUCCUGAGUGCUGACACUGUGGUGCCCUGUGAUGCUGUGGAGGCGACUGGCAGCUGUGUGCGGGCACCUGAGAGUGGUGACUCGCUGCAGCUGUGGUAACCCUUGCAACGCUAGUGAUGAAGGGUGGGAGGGUUAUAAAAACACUGGCUUUCACAGGUCAUUGAACAAAAGUUUAAUCGAAAGUAGUCGUCUUAUUACUGUGAUUAUUAUUAUUUUCAUUAUUAUUAUUACUAUUACUAUUACAUGAUGAAUGCGAUAGUAGUAGUGGUGAUGAUGGUUAAUAACAGUAAUCCAUUUUAUUUAUGUCCUUUUUUAUCAGCGCAGUUAUUUUCAUGUUGGAAGUAUAUUAAUUUUUUUCAUUAUUUAUUUUCUCAUUUGGUUAAGCUGUAUUCGUUUUCAAAUUUUUCAUAAUACAUUUUUUUCUCUCCACUUGUACUCUUUACUAGCUGAUCCUUGGAUUAGGUCUCUGCCUAAUGCAAUGAUUAUAGCAAAGAUCCGUGGUGAAUUAAGCAUACAUUUAUUUUAUAUUUAUUUAUUUACUUACAUUUAUUUUGAUAUUUAUUUUCUUGGUUAUUUUUAUUUUUUAUAAUUGUAAAUAUUCACUUUCAGGUUUGGUUUCGUGUUUACAUGAAACCUUUUGUGACUGGGUUACUUAUAGUUGGGAUGUUUGGAUGCCUAAUUAGUAGGCAUAAUACAUUAUUGUACAAGCCUGCUGUUUGAAAUUUAGGAUUUUAACUUUCUUUUUCAGGUGAUAAAAAUUGUGAAAGAACUUUUGAUAACCACCCUUCAUGAGGUAUACAAAAGAAAUUUGUUAUAUUCUAGCUUUUAAAGAUUUAUUGGAUAAAAGUAGAUUUGACUUUCGAUUUUGCAGAUUGCAUGGGUACUGCUAUGGAUGCAAAACAAACUUCCCUCUACUCUAUAAUUUUGAAUUGCAAAAUUUGCAAAACUAUCCUACAGAUCAGGGCGCACACAUGUUCAUGAACUCAAUGUGGUAACAAGUUGAUUAUUAUUUUUAUUAUCGUGAUUAUCAUGAAUGAUUAAAUAUUGAUGAUUAUCAUCUGUGGAAGAUAAGGAGUAUAAUUUUGCUUCAAUUUGCUUUCGUUCAGUGAUUUUUAGACUGAAUAAUGUGGGGGUAUGCUGACAAGUCACUAAAGUACAGCACUUGAAAUUUAAGAAAAUCAAAGAAGUAAAGAUAUUCAAUUCAAUUUUCUCAUAGAAACAUGAAAGCUUUAUCAUUUAUUAAAAGAAAAUUUAGUUGUGCAGUGUCAUUUGAUCAUGAGAAGUGUCUGUCAAAAUUAUUCUCAAAAUACAUAUUACACCCCUUUACUAUAAGCUGUAUGAGAUUAUUUUGAUCAAAAUAAAUAUAACUGUCACAUAAUUGAAGUUUGCAGUAUCAAUUUCGUUGUCAAAGGACCAUUACAGACAAAGAAUUUCCAUAAACGAUCCCCCCCCCCCCUCAAAUAUAUAACCACUUUCGUAUGAACUUAGUAUAAGGAUGAAAAGGCUGCAUUUGUGGGUUUCAAAUAUUUUGAGGUAAGUACAUAGAAUCCUUAAUAAACAGUUGCUUACA
This is an RNA transcript of Penaeus chinensis, 2956 nucleotides long. It is a transcript of the gene named serine/arginine-rich splicing factor 2-like, with no coding region annotated. Lineage: Eukaryota; Metazoa; Arthropoda; Malacostraca; Decapoda; Penaeidae. The transcript is spliced from 6 exons. The record is from RefSeq and is a predicted model, not a curated record.